AUGGAAGAGGGGUCCUCACGCCUGAAUCCCUGUGGCCCUGACAGAUCAGCGUGGCCCAGCCGCAGCCCCAGCCAGAAGACUGCAGGGAGCUCCAGCCUCGAGUUCCGGACCCCUGGGGGCAGCUCCUGCUUUCAGAAGUUGUGGCGGAAGGUAAAUAAAGUUUCCCACAUCCGAUGGCUUGAAGAGUACAUACAGUUCAGUGGCUGUGAGGUCUGCCUGCCCUGGUGUGUAGGCAACACAUCAGCGCGAUCCAUCUGCACCGCGCACCGGGCAGGCAGGAGGCUGCGAGCCGGUU
Molecule: long non-coding RNA, 295 nt
Filed under: Sus scrofa (pig)
Lineage: Eukaryota; Metazoa; Chordata; Mammalia; Artiodactyla; Suidae
Description: lncRNA (ENSSSCG00065039848.1)
Source: RNAcentral